This 478-nucleotide ribosomal RNA is filed under the name uncultured bacterium. RNAcentral describes it as "partial 16S ribosomal RNA". It matches the Rfam family "Bacterial small subunit ribosomal RNA", at positions 30 to 507 of the family's 1533-position model. The record is from RNAcentral.
UGAACGCUAGCGGCAGGCCUAACACAUGCAAGUCGAGGGGGAAGUUACUUUCGGGUGACUGAGACCGGCGUACGGGUGCGUAACGCGUAUACAAUCUGCCUUUCACUGGGGGAUAGCCCGAAGAAAUUUGGAUUAAUACCCCAUAGUAUAUAGGGACGGCAUCGUUUUUAUAUUAAAGCUUAGGUGGUGAAAGAUGAGUAUGCGUUCUAUUAGCUAGUUGGAGAGGUAACGGCUCCCCAAGGCGAUGAUAGAUAGGGGUUCUGAGAGGGAUGUCCCCUACACUGGUACUGAGAUACGGACCAGACUCCUACGGGAGGCAGCAGUGAGGAAUAUUGGACAAUGGUCGGAAGACUGAUCCAGCCAUGCCGCGUGCAGGAUGAAGGUCUUAUGGAUUGUAAACUGCUUUUGUAAGGGAAGAAUAAGGGCUACGCGUAGUUUGAUGACGGUACCUUACGAAUAAGCAUCGGCUAACUCCGUG